GUAGCGGCCACAGCGGUGGGGUUCCUCCCGUACCCAUCCCGAACACGGAAGAUAAGCCCACCAGCGUUCCGGGGAGUACUGGAGUGCGCGACCCUCUGGGAAACCGGGUUCGCCGCUAC
RNAcentral lists this ribosomal RNA (119 nucleotides) under Haloarcula vallismortis. Lineage: Archaea; Methanobacteriati; Methanobacteriota; Halobacteria; Halobacteriales; Haloarculaceae. The record is from RNAcentral.